GGUAGGGUAUUAUAAUGAGUAUGCUGGGUUCAUGCCCCCGCGGCGGAGGGUAGAUAGAUCCCCCCCCUACUU
Molecule: non-coding RNA, 72 nt
Organism: Ylistrum balloti
Lineage: Eukaryota; Metazoa; Mollusca; Bivalvia; Pectinida; Pectinidae
Source: the annotation of a RefSeq genome assembly